Molecule: ribosomal RNA, 253 nt
Filed under: uncultured bacterium
Lineage: Bacteria
Description: partial 16S ribosomal RNA
Rfam family: Bacterial small subunit ribosomal RNA
Source: RNAcentral
UACGGAGGGUGCAAGCGUUAUCCGGAUUUACUGGGUUUAAAGGGUGUGUAGGCGGGCUUUUAAGUCAGUGGUGAAAUCUCCGGGCUCAACCCGGAAACUGCCAUUGAUACUAUUAGUCUUGAAUUUUGUUGAGGUAGGCGGAAUAAGUCAUGUAGCGGUGAAAUGCAUAGAUAUGACUUAGAACACCAAUUGCGAAGGCAGCUUACUAAACAGAUAUUGACGCUGAGGCACGAAAGCGUGGGGAUCAAACAGG